This 301-nucleotide ribosomal RNA is filed under the name uncultured bacterium. Its description in RNAcentral is "partial 16S ribosomal RNA". It matches the Rfam family "Bacterial small subunit ribosomal RNA", at positions 509 to 807 of the family's 1533-position model. The record is from RNAcentral.
CAGUAGCCGCGGUAAGACAGAGGAUGCAAGCGUUAUCCGGAAUGAUUGGGCGUAAAGGGCUCGCAGGCGGUUUCUUAAGUCUGAUGUGAAAGCCCCCGGCUCAACCGGGGAGGGUCAUUGGAAGCUGGGAAACUUGAGUGCAGAAGAGGAGAGUGGAAUUCCACGUGUAGCGGUGAAAUGCGUAGAUAUUCGCAAGAACACCGGUGGCGAAGGCGGCUCACUGGCCCGGUACUGACGCUGAGGCACGAAAGCGUGGGGAGCAAACAGGAUUAGAUACCCCAGUAGUCCCUGUCUCUUAUAC